ACCCAUGAAACACCAACCCUCAUUUUAUACCCGAUCUGGGAACUGCAUUUGAUGGAGCCCACCAGAAAUGAUGUUGGCCCCACCAGCUGAACCAUGUCCGAGUCUUCUUCACCUCCAUUCCCCUGGUUCGACUUCUCCUCCCUCAGCGAAUCCCCUGCCCUUCCCAGGAGCUUGGCCUUCCGUCCUUGCGCCGCCCAUUCCACCUUGAAGAUCUUUCUUCGUGUCCUUUCUUGCUUUUUAGAUGGGAUUCGAAUCUGAUUGCAUUGUUUUGGUAUUCUAUAGUUUCAAAGAUCUCAUUUUGUUGAUGUCUUAGAUCGCCCUUGUCGAUCUGCUCAACAUAAACUAUUCAGAAGAGAAUGGGAUUUGAAACUGAUGCAACCUUCGUACUGUGUAAUGCAUAACUCUCACUGGUCUGCUGUCAAGCAACAAUCUUGGAUAGUGAUUCUUGUGUUUUGUCCAUAUCUCAACUGAUUAGCAAUGUUCUAAUUUUCCUUCUAUGGUUAAAGUUCUUCUUUAUGUUCCACAGUUGUUUCCCAAAUUCCAAUAGAUAACCAUAUUCGACCAGCAUAUUUGUGUAGAGAUCAAUGAUGGAAUAGGUUAAGCAAGCAAUGUGGAUUAACCUAAUUGUGAAACUGGUUAUCUGAUCUAGUUGUUGGUCAAAUUUCUACUAUUGUAACUAUUUCCCUGUCCUGAUUGGAAGAAGUAUGUGAACCAAAUUUUCUAUAACUGCUUUGAUUAAUCGACUUCCCUUUUCUGAACUUUAAAUGUGAUAUGAGCAUGAUGUUGAUAUUUUAAAAGGAAUUGAUUUUGAGGUUGAUCAGGGUCCAUUUUGAUGCUUUCCAUUUGCAGGGAUGACUGCUUUUCAGUGACCAUCUGAUUGACUGCUACAUGUAGAGUUUGAGAACUUGAAUACAGAGAUUGUAGGUGUGCUACUAUGCUAUUGCUAGGUCUUUGAUGGCCAACCAAAAUGCUUUGCUGCACAAGAUCCAAGACCGCAAAAGACAGCAACAUCAAAAUGAGGACUAAAUGCUUUGGUUUGCUUUGCUCCCGCUGUUCCCCUCAAAAUAAGAGCACCACCUCAUCCAAAAGCAAAGCAUGCUGUUAGACCAAGCUUUUUUGACUGGGAACCAGAACAGGGAUGAGACUGACUACCUUUGAAAGAAAGGCAAGUUAUGGAUUUUUAACUAGGAAUGUUUUCAAAAACCAUACCAAAUCGAAAUUUUCCAAGAGGUUU
Long non-coding RNA from Zingiber officinale, 1234 nucleotides. RefSeq lists it as uncharacterized. The transcript is spliced from 3 exons. Lineage: Eukaryota; Viridiplantae; Streptophyta; Magnoliopsida; Zingiberales; Zingiberaceae. The record is from RefSeq and is a predicted model, not a curated record.